AUACGGAGGGUGCAAGCGUUAAUCGGAAUUACUGGGCGUAAAGAGUACGUAGGCGGUUUGUUAAGUUAGAUGUGAAAGCCCCGGGCUUAACCUGGGAACUGCAUUUAAAACUGGCAAUCUAGAGUUGGGUAGAGGGAAGUGGAAUUUCAGGUGUAGCGGUGAAAUGCGUAGAGAUCUGAAGGAACACCAGUGGCGAAGGCGACUUCCUGGACUCAAACUGACGCUGAGGUACGAAAGCGUGGGUAGCAAACGGGAUUAGAAACCCCAGUAGUCC
RNAcentral lists this ribosomal RNA (274 nucleotides) under uncultured bacterium. RNAcentral describes it as "partial 16S ribosomal RNA". It matches the Rfam family "Bacterial small subunit ribosomal RNA", at positions 523 to 796 of the family's 1533-position model. The record is from RNAcentral.